AGUUUGAUCCUGGCUCAGGAUGAACGCUGGCGGCAUGCCUAAUACAUGCAAGUCGAACGAGGGUCCUUCGGGACUCGAGUGGCGAACGGGUGAGUAACACGUAGGGAACCUGCCCGUGCGACCGGGAGAACUUUCGGAAACGGAAGCUGAUACCGGAUAGGGACAGAGACGGCAUCGACUCUGUGUUAAAGGAGCUGAAAGGCUCCGCGCACGGAUGGACCUGCGGUGCAUUAGCUGGUUGGUGAGGUAACGGCCCACCAAGGCGACGAUGCAUAGCCGGCCUGAGAGGGCGGACGGCCACACUGGGACUGAGACACGGCCCAGACUCCUACGGGAGGCAGCAGUAGGGAAUUUUCGUCAAUGGGCGCAAGCCUGAACGAGCAAUGCCGCGUGAACGAGGAAGGUCUUCGGAUCGUAAAGUUCUGUUGAAGGGGAAAAAGAGCGGAGAGAGGAAAUGGUCUCCGAUUGAUAUUACCCUUCGAGGAAGUCACGGCUAACUACGUGCCAGCAGCCGCGGUAAUACGUAGGUGGCGAGCGUUAUCCGGAAUGAUUGGGCGUAAAGGGUGCGUAGGCGGCCUGCUAAGUCUGGAGUGAAAGGUACCGGCUCAACCGGUACAGGCUCUGGAAACUGGCGGGCUAGAGAGCAGGAGAGGGCGGUGGAACUCCAUGUGUAGCGGUAAAAUGCGUAGAUAUAUGGAAGAACACCAGUGGCGAAGGCGGCCGCCUGGCCUGUUACUGACGCUGAGGCACGAAAGCGUGGGGAGCAAAUAGGAUUAGAUACCCUAGUAGUCCAUGCCGUAAACGAUGAGGACCAAGUGUUGGGGAAGACCCAGUGCUGCAGUUAACGCAGUGAGUCCUCCGCCUGGGGAGUAUGCACGCAAGUGUGAAACUCAAAGGAAUUGACGGGGGCCCGCACAAGCGGUGGAGUAUGUGGUUUAAUUCGAAGCAACGCGAAGAACCUUACCAGGCCUUGACAUAGGGUGCGAAGCUAUGGAGACAUAGUGGAGGUAAACAUCCAUACAGGUGGUGCAUGGUUGUCGUCAGCUCGUGUCGUGAGAUGUUCAGUUAAGUCUGGCAACGAGCGCAACCCUCGUGAUGUGUUACCAAUAUCGAGUUAGGGACUCACAUCAGACUGCCGGUGAGAAACCGGAGGAAGGCGGGGAUGACGUCAAAUCAUCAUGCCCCUUAUGGCCUGGGCUACACACGUACUACAAUGGCGGCGACAGAGGGCAGCGAGCCUGCGAAGGCAAGCGAAUCCCAAAAAAGCCGUCCCAGUUCGGAUUGGAGUCUGCAACCCGACUCCAUGAAGUUGGAAUCGCUAGUAAUCGCGGAUCAGUAUGCCGCGGUGAAUACGUUCUCGGGCCUUGCACACACCGCCCGUCAA
RNAcentral lists this ribosomal RNA (1384 nucleotides) under uncultured bacterium. RNAcentral's name for it is "bacterial SSU rRNA". It matches the Rfam family "Bacterial small subunit ribosomal RNA". The record is from RNAcentral.